UGGUGCAGUUUCCCUGGUGAUACAACAACUUGUUUACUUGUUUAGACCAGCAUGCAACUUUACAAGCCAUCAUUGUCCGUACCAUGGUCAGGUAGUUGUACUGUGCAGCGUUCCCAAGGGACAGAAUCUUCUUCUGCUCAGGUACUGCUCAAUACGGGCUCCUUCGAUGGCUCCGCCCUUGGUGAAGUUGAUGUCAAUGUACUUCCCAAAGCGACUGGAGUUGUCAUUACGGAUGGUUUUGGCGUUACCAAAGGCUGAAAGGAAAACACAUCAACACACCUGAUGACGCAGCACUGGCUCUUUCGGUUGCGCCGCAUGUUGAAGAAGCAGCUGUCGGCGAUGGCGAAGACGUGCGGCGGCAGUUCACCCAGCCGUCGAUCUGUGUACAUGUGCACAUGCUCAGUGG
Long non-coding RNA from Betta splendens (Siamese fighting fish), 406 nucleotides. RefSeq lists it as uncharacterized. The record is from RefSeq and is a predicted model, not a curated record. The transcript is spliced from 3 exons. Lineage: Eukaryota; Metazoa; Chordata; Actinopteri; Anabantiformes; Osphronemidae.